CAGGAGUUUGAGACCAACCUGGCCAACAUGGUGAAACCCUGUCUCUACUAAAAGUACAAAAAUUAGCAGGGCGUGGUGGUGCAUGCUGGUAAUCCUAGCUACUUGGGAGGCUGAGGCAGGGAGAAUCGCUUAAGCCCGGGAGGUGGAGGUUGCAGUGAGCUGAGAUCAUGCCAUUGCACUCCAGCUUGGGUGACAGAGCAAGACUGUCAAAAAAAAAAAAAAAAGGCCCCAAAACAAAAAAUCCCAAAUGUAGUAGGGCAUGGUGUCAUGCACCUGUGGUCCCAGCUACUUGAGAAGCUGAGGUGGGAGGAUCGCUUGGGCCUGAGAGAUGGAGGCUGCAGUGAGCUGUGAUUGUGCCACUGCACUCCAGAGCAGUGACAGAGUAAGCAAGGGGCAGGAGACAGAACACACUAGUUUAUACUUCACAGAACUCUUACCUGGCCCAAGUGGACUCAAUAGGUUAUAAAAAGGACUGCCCUGAUGAUUCCUAUUAACAUAUAAAUAUUGCCAGGUAUGAGAUGAAAGCAGAAAGACUUCAGUGUACAUUUAUUGAGUCUGACAUUUUUCUCUCACCUGAUAGAGACACCUGCCUGGGCUGAGUGAGGUGGGCAAGGACAGUGGGAGAAGUGGGAAUUGAAGCUA
RNAcentral lists this long non-coding RNA (642 nucleotides) under Homo sapiens (human). RNAcentral describes it as "HSALNT0236979". Lineage: Eukaryota; Metazoa; Chordata; Mammalia; Primates; Hominidae. The record is from RNAcentral.